RNAcentral lists this ribosomal RNA (468 nucleotides) under uncultured bacterium. RNAcentral describes it as "partial 16S ribosomal RNA". It matches the Rfam family "Bacterial small subunit ribosomal RNA", at positions 28 to 507 of the family's 1533-position model. The record is from RNAcentral.
GACGAACGCUGGCGGCGUGCUUAACACAUGCAAGUCGAACGGAAAGGCCCUGCUUUUGUGCGGUGCUCGAGUGGCCACCGGGUAAGUAACACGUAAGUACCCUGCCAUUGACUUUGGGAUAACUUCAGGCAACUGGGGCUCAUACCGGCUAAGAGCUCCUGCUGCUUGGUGGGGGCUGGUUAGUUUCGGCGGUUGGGGUUGGACUCGCGGCUUAUCAGCUUGUUGGUGGGGUAGUGGCUUACCAAGGCUUGGACGGGUAGCAGGGCUGGGCGGGGCACCGGACACGUCAGGACUGGAAUGAGGCCCAGCCUCGUACGGGAGGCAGCGGAGGAGAAUAGUGCACUAUGGGCGGAAGCCUGAUGCAGCAACGCCGCGUGCGGUAAGACGGCCUGCGGGUAGUGAACCGCUUUCGCCUGUGACGAGGCGUGAAUGACGGUAAUGGGUAAAGAAGCACCGGCUAACUACGUG